CAGAGUUGUAAAACUCCAAACCCAUGUGAACAUACCUCGUGUUGCCUCGGCGGCGAGCGUAGCGCCCGGUAGGUGCCUACCCGGUACCUACCCUGGAGCUACCCGGUAGUAACCUACCCGGUAGCUACCCUGAAGGGGCUUGCGCAUCCGCCGGAGGACCACUUAAACUCUUGUUUCUGUGUGGCACAUCUGAGUUAUUAUACUUAAUAAGUCA
Molecule: unclassified non-coding RNA, 214 nt
Filed under: uncultured Virgaria
Lineage: Eukaryota; Fungi; Ascomycota
Description: sequence contains ITS1
Source: RNAcentral